RNAcentral lists this ribosomal RNA (465 nucleotides) under uncultured bacterium. RNAcentral describes it as "partial 16S ribosomal RNA". It matches the Rfam family "Bacterial small subunit ribosomal RNA", at positions 28 to 507 of the family's 1533-position model. The record is from RNAcentral.
GACGAACGCUGGCGGCGUGCUUAACACAUGCAAGUCGAACGGAAAGGCCCUGCUUGCUGGGUCCUCGAGUGGCGAACGGGUGAGUAACACGUGGGUGAUCUGCCCUGCACUUCGGGAUAAGCCUGGGAAACUGGGUCUAAUACCGGAUAGGAGCCAUUUUUAGUGUGAUGGUUGGAAAGUUUUUUCGGUGUAGGAUGAGCUCGCGGCCUAUCAGCUUGUUGGUGGGGUAAUGGCCUACCAAGGCGGCGACGGGUAGCCGGCCUGAGAGGGUGGACGGCCACAGUGGGACUGAGAUACGGCCCAGACUCCUACGGGAGGCAUCAGUGGGGAAUAUUGCACAAUGGGCGCAAGCCUGAUGCAGCGACGCCGCGUGGGGGAGGACGGCCUUCGGGUUGUAAACGCCUUUCGCUAGGGACGAAGCUUUUUGUGACGGUACCUAGAUAAGAAGCACCGGCUAACUACGUG